RNAcentral lists this ribosomal RNA (254 nucleotides) under uncultured bacterium. RNAcentral's name for it is "partial 16S ribosomal RNA". It matches the Rfam family "Bacterial small subunit ribosomal RNA", at positions 524 to 776 of the family's 1533-position model. The record is from RNAcentral.
UACGAAGGGGGCAAGCUUGUCCGGAAUCAUUGGGCGUAAAGCGCGUGUAGGCGGUCCGGUAAGUCCGCUGUGAAAGUCGGGGGCUCAACCCUCGGAUGCCGGUGGAUACUGUCGGGCUUGAGUACGGAAGAGGCGAGUGGAAUUCCUGGUGUAGCGGUGAAAUGCGCAGAUAUCAGGAGGAACACCAGUUGCGAAGGCGGCUCCGCUGGGGCCGUAACUGACUCUGGAGGAGCGAAAGCUGGGUAGCGAACAGG